GACGAACGCUGGCGGCGUGCUUAACACAUGCAAGUCGAACGAUGAAGAAGAGAAACGCGAACUUCGGUUCAACUUUCACUUCGGAUUAGUGGCAGACGGGUGAGUAACGCGUGAGCAACCUACCUCUUACAAAGGGAUAGCCUCGGGAAACCGUGAUUAAUACCAUAUGACACAUUCAUAAGGCAUCUUAAGAAUGUUAAAGCUACGGCGGUAAGAGAUGGGCUUGCGUCCCAUUAGCUAGUUGGUGAGGUAACGGCCCACCAAGGCGACGAUGGGUAACCGGCCUGAGAGGGUGAACGGUCACAUUGGAACUGAGACACGGUCCAAACUCCUACGGGAGGCAGCAGUGGGGAAUAUUGCACAAUGGAGGGAACUCUGAUGCAGCGACGCCGCGUGAGCGAUGAAGGAAUUCGUUUCGUAAAGCUCUGUUCUAUGGGAAGAAAAGGACUGUACCAUAGGAGAAAGCCCCGGCUAAAUACGUG
This 482-nucleotide ribosomal RNA is filed under the name uncultured bacterium. RNAcentral's name for it is "partial 16S ribosomal RNA". It matches the Rfam family "Bacterial small subunit ribosomal RNA", at positions 28 to 507 of the family's 1533-position model. The record is from RNAcentral.